This 441-nucleotide ribosomal RNA is filed under the name uncultured bacterium. Its description in RNAcentral is "partial 16S ribosomal RNA". It matches the Rfam family "Bacterial small subunit ribosomal RNA", at positions 338 to 795 of the family's 1533-position model. The record is from RNAcentral.
CCUACGGGUGGCAGCAGUGGGGAAUAUUGCACAAUGGGGGAAACCCUGAUGCAGCAACGCCGCGUGAGGGAAGACGGUAUUCGGAUUGUACACCUCUGUCAUUAGUGAAGAAUAAUGACGGUAGCUAAGGAGCAAGCCACGGCUAACUACGUGCCAGCAGCCGCGGUAAUACUUAGGGGGCAAGCGUUACCCGGAAUUACUGGGUGAAAAGGGAGCGCAGGCGGGAAGCCAAGUCAGCUGUGAAAACUACGGGCUUAACUUGUAGACUGCAGUUGAAACUGGUUUUCUUGAGUGAAGUAGAGGUUAGCGGAAUUCCGAGUGUAGCGGUGAAAUGCGUAGAUAUUCGGAGGAACACCAGUGGCGAAGGCGGCCAACUGGGCUUUAACUGACGCUGAGGCUCGAAAGUGUGGGGAGCAAACAGGAUUAGAUACCCUUGUAGUC